Molecule: transfer RNA, 75 nt
Filed under: Anatilimnocola aggregata
Lineage: Bacteria; Pseudomonadati; Planctomycetota; Planctomycetia; Pirellulales; Pirellulaceae
Description: Planctomycetes bacterium ETA_A8 tRNA-Ile
Rfam family: tRNA
About the family: Transfer RNA (tRNA) molecules are approximately 80 nucleotides in length. Their secondary structure includes four short double-helical elements and three loops (D, anti-codon, and T loops).
Source: RNAcentral
GCGCGGCUAGCUCAGUUGGUUAGAGCGCGUCGCUGAUAACGACGAGGUCACAAGUUCGAAUCUUGUGCCGCGCAC